GAGCUGGGAACCGCCUCCUGUGUGCUUCAUGGCCAUGGUCCUUUCUGCCUGUGUUUUUUCUUUUUUUCUCAACCGUCUCUUUUCUGGCUCCCUUAUUUCUCUGUCUGCCUCCCGGUCCCUCUUUUGCCUUGGGUGUUUCUCUCCUGCCGUCCCGUCCACACGCUUCCCGGGUUCCUGCCCGCCCAGGGCAUUGCCACAGGGAAGUACCACGCCGCGGUGCUCACCAACAGCGCUGAGUGGGAGGCCGCCUGUGUGAAGGCGGGCAGGAAGUGUGGGGACCUGGUGCACCCGCUGGUCUACUGCCCCGAGCUGCACUUCAGCGAGUUCACCUCAGCUGUGGCGGACAUGAAGAACUCAGUGGCGGACCGAGACAACAGCCCCAGCUCCUGUGCUGGCCUCUUCAUCGCCUCACACAUCGGCUUCGACUGGCCCGGAGUCUGGGUCCACCUGGACAUUGCUGCACCGGUGCAUGCCGUGAGUGUCCCCCCUCCCCACUGGCCCUGGCUGCUCCCGCCCUCUUGUCCAAACAGCACCCCUCUGGCUCUGGAGCUGCUGGCAGAGCUCAUCAGAAACUUCUGUCUGUGACCCAGCUUCCAGCCCACUGUCCCCACCACCCCCAGGUCUCAUCCUCCCUGGGAACAGAGUGGCUGCUGUGUACGACCCUUCCCCAGCCAGCCUGUCCUCCAUAGGGGAUCCUGGGCCCUGUCUCACCCAUCCCCACCCUGAGGAGCUCCCGGGGUGAAGGCAGAGCACACAGGGCCUUGCCCC
Molecule: small RNA, 768 nt
Filed under: Pan troglodytes (chimpanzee)
Lineage: Eukaryota; Metazoa; Chordata; Mammalia; Primates; Hominidae
Description: retained intron
Source: RNAcentral